This is a long non-coding RNA of Magnolia sinica, 518 nucleotides long. RefSeq lists it as uncharacterized. The transcript has 3 exons. NCBI's taxonomy places the organism in Eukaryota, Viridiplantae, Streptophyta, Magnoliopsida, Magnoliales, Magnoliaceae. The record is from RefSeq and is a predicted model, not a curated record.
UUAUACGUAGAGGUUUCGAAAAAAAAAAAAAAAGUCGAACUUGACUGCUGCGCCAUGGGCUUUAUAAAUGAGGCUCACCGUUCCAUUCUAUGAACCACACCAACUGUCCCUCUUUCUCUCACAACAUGGAUAGAUGCCUGUCUUUCUUCUCCUUUGCUGGACUAGCUUAUCUGGUAAUAACAGCUCCUUAUUGUCAACUUAGAUUUUUUCGUUUUCUUACUUGGUGUUAUUUGCAUUGUGUUCAUUGCAGAAGCUGACUGCGUAAUGAUAACUCGGUAUGCUAAGCUUAGCAUACCGAGUAAAUCCGAUUUCGUUGAUGGCUGGCUAAUGAGCAUUUUUAAUGUAACAGCUCACUGCGGCUGCAGUUGGAAGCCAUGCGACGUCACCAUCCGAGGCUUAUUGGCAGAAGGUGCUGCCAAACACUCCAAUGCCAAGUGCUAUACGAGAUUUCUUCAACCUGGAUUUUAUCAACGAGAAGACAGGCAAACCGAAGGUUGGAGUCAAUAUGAACACAGGCC